RNAcentral lists this ribosomal RNA (371 nucleotides) under uncultured organism. RNAcentral describes it as "bacterial SSU rRNA". It matches the Rfam family "Bacterial small subunit ribosomal RNA", at positions 526 to 896 of the family's 1533-position model. The record is from RNAcentral.
CGUAGGGUGCGAGCGUUAAUCGGAAUUACUGGGCGUAAAGCGUGCGCAGGCGGUUUAGUAAGACAGGCGUGAAAUCCCCGGGCUCAACCUGGGAACUGCGCUUGUGACUGCUAAGCUAGAGUACGGCAGAGGGGGGUGAAUUCCACGUGUAGCAGUGAAACGCGUAGAGAUGUGGAGGAACACCAAUGGCGAAGGCAGCCCCCUGGGUCGAUACUGACGCUCAUGCACGAAAGCGUGGGUAGCAAACAGGAUUAGAUACCCUGGUAGUCCACGCCCUAAACGAUGUCAACUAGGUGUUGGGAGGGUAAAACCUUUUAGUACCGGAGCUAACGCGUGAAGUUGACCGCCUGGGGAGUACGGCCGCAAGGUUA